RNAcentral lists this ribosomal RNA (457 nucleotides) under Synoeca septentrionalis. RNAcentral describes it as "partial large subunit ribosomal RNA". The stretch from base 332 to 457 matches the Rfam family "Bacterial large subunit ribosomal RNA", at positions 2473 to 2599 of the family's 2925-position model. Lineage: Eukaryota; Metazoa; Arthropoda; Insecta; Hymenoptera; Vespidae. The record is from RNAcentral.
AGUCUUUCUGCCCAUUGAAAUUAAAAGGCUGCGGUAUUUUAACUGUACAAAGGUAGCAAAAUCAAUAGUUUUUUAAUUGAAAACUUGAAUGAAUGAGUUAAUAAGAUAUUAAUUGUCUCAAUAGUUAAAUUUAAAUUAAAAGUUAAAAUGCUUUUAUAAAUUUAUUAGACGAUAAGACCCUAAGAAUUUAAUUAUAAAUUAUAAUUGAAAAAAAUAUUAAUAAUUGAAUAAUUUUAUUGGGAGGAUAAUUAAAUUAAACUUUAAUUUGAAUAAAUAUUGAUAAAUAAAUUUAAUGAUUAAUAUAAAGAUUAAAAGAAUAAAUUACCUUAGGGAUAACAGCGUAAUAAUUUUGGAGAGUUCAUAUUGAUAAAAUUGUUUACGACCUCGAUGUUGAAUUAAAAUAAAAAUUAAAUGGAGAAAUUUAAAUUUUUAGUCUGUUCGACUAUUAAAAUUUUAC